CCCUACGGGGUGCAGCAGGUGUCUUCCUCAGAAGCGAAGUUGAGGUCCACGAUGGCGUGGUGCUGGGGGAUGCCCAGGCGUCGUUGACGUCGUCGCACCUGCUCCAGUUGGGUUUCGGUCAGCUUGCCUUGCUCCAGCAAGAGGUCGCCGACUUCGCGCAGGCCAGGGUCCGGAGUGGGGGUCAUUUGAUCGGCACUUCGAUUUCCCGGCUGGUGUUCAGCGGGAGCACAUUGGUGAUGGCUUGGGGGUUGGUCAAGACGAGCGAGACCAUGGAGGCCUGGGCCGCAUAGAGGUUCGCGGUGAGGCUCGAUCCGAUGGGAGCAACCAGGAACGCGUCGCCCAUUUUGACGACCGCGCGCUUGGGGCCUUCGCCGGCCUCAUAGAAUCCCGGGUAGGUCAACUGGAUCUUGCGGGUGGUCGGAGCGGGGGGGC
This 432-nucleotide ribosomal RNA is filed under the name uncultured prokaryote. Its description in RNAcentral is "partial 16S ribosomal RNA". The record is from RNAcentral.